AUUGAACGCUGGCGGCAGGCCUAACACAUGCAAGUCGAACGAGAGGCGGACGGGUGAGUAAUGUCUGAGAACCUGCCUGAUCGACGGGGCUCACUACUGGAAAAGGUAGCUAAUACCGCAUACCAUCAGAUGUGCCCUGAUGGGAUUAGCUAGUUGGUGUGGUAACGGCUCACCAAGGCGACGAUCCCUAGCUGGUCUGAGAGGCUGACCAGCAACACUGGGACUGAGACACGGUCCAGCCUCCUACGGGAGGCAGCAGUGGGGAAUAUUGCGCAAUUGGCGCAAGCCUGAUGCAGACACGCCGCGUGUAUGAAGAAGGGCUUCGGGUUGUAAAGUACUUUCAGCGGGGAGGCGUUACCCACAGAAAAAGCACCGGCUAACUCCGUGCCAGCAGCCGCGGUAAUUC
RNAcentral lists this ribosomal RNA (406 nucleotides) under uncultured bacterium. Its description in RNAcentral is "partial 16S ribosomal RNA". It matches the Rfam family "Bacterial small subunit ribosomal RNA", at positions 30 to 526 of the family's 1533-position model. The record is from RNAcentral.